This 1443-nucleotide long non-coding RNA is filed under the name Canis lupus familiaris (dog). Its description in RNAcentral is "lncRNA (ENSCAFG00030003354.1)". The record is from RNAcentral. Lineage: Eukaryota; Metazoa; Chordata; Mammalia; Carnivora; Canidae.
AUGAAUGCCCCGCGCACACUCGCCGCCGCCGCCCGCCCCGCGCGCAGCCCGCCCCGCGCCCCGCGCCCCGCGCCCCGCGCCCCGCGCCCCGCCGGCCGCGCGCCCCCGGCAGCGGGCGGGGAGCGGGGCGCGGGGCGCGGGGAGCCGGGCCGGGCCGGGCCGGGCCGGCGGUGGGCGGAGCGCUUACCGUGUUCCUGCUCUCGGGACGGCGAGCCGGGCGGCGGGAGGGCGGGAGGGCGCGCGGGCGGCCGGGCACCGGGGCCCCGAGCGCGCGGGGCUCGGGCUGGGCCUCCGGGGCGGCGGCGGCGGCGAGGGCGGCGGCGAGGGCGCGGCGCGGGAGGCGGGCGGCGGGCGGCGGGCGGCGGGCGGCGGGCGGCGCGCCGGGUCCGCGGGCGCCGUGGCCGCGCCGGGAGAUGUGUGUUAGUAGGUCAGUUCCGAGCGCCGCGCUACGUCGCCGCCCGCCAGCCUCGCCGUGACGGGCGGCCCGGGCCCCAAUCGCCGCGCCCGCACCCGCCCCCGGCCCGCCGCCAAUGGCCGCGGCCGGCGGGGGCGGGCUCUCCGCGGCCCCGCCCCCGGCCCGCCCCUCCUCCGCCCCCUGCGCUCCCCUCCCCGCCCCCUCCGCUCCCCUCCGCUCCCCUCCCCUCCCCGCCCCUCCCCGCCCCUCCCCACGCCCGCUCCGCCCCCCCUCCGCGCCGCGCCGCCGCCCGCCCGCCAGCCCGCCCGCCUCCCUCCGCGGCCGCCGCCCCGCGCCCCGCGCCCCGCGCCCCGCGCCCCGCGCCCCGCGCCCGGCUCCGGGGGUGCGCAGCGGCCGGGCCCGCGGGCGGGCGGGGGGCGGCGGAGGGGCCCGAGCCCCCGGCCGGCUCUCCCAGCGCCGCCCCCCCCGCGGCCGCCGCGCGCACUCCCGGAGGCGCUUUGUGUGUCCCCGAGCACGCAGCGGCGCGGCUACCUGUUGCCCACCGAGGACCCGGGCGUGGCGCGGACCCCGGCGGGGGCCCCUCCUCCUCGGGGCGGGCGCGGGCAGGCGCGAGGGGGGCGCUGGCGAGCCGCCCGCGGGGGGGGGGGGGGGGGAGCGGCUGCGGCCGAGCCCCGUGGGGCUGCGUGGGCGGCGGUGACCAGGCCCUCGCGCGUCUCCCCGGGGAGCGCGGCGGCCCGCGGCGGGCAGAGAACGCGCCGCACACAGACACCGCCCCCUGCACAAUUAGGGCGCGGAUGACGGAGGCGAGGUGGUUGCGUAAGCCGGCCGGGGCCGAGAGGUGGCCGCCGCGGUGCGCCCGGCCCGAGGCUCCUGCGCGCGCUGCUGGCGCCCGGCCCGGCCCGGCCCGGCCCGCGGGUGACCCCCCGCCCGGAGCCCGCCCGGAGCCCGCGGCCCUCUGCCCGGCGUCGGACGCGGCCGGCUGCCCCUGCACCCCCGGGCUGCGUGAGACGCGCAAAGAGGUGCUAUGA